UCAGCAACAAACUUCCUCUUGGAAACAACUUCGUGAUAGAAAGUUGCAGCCUCAAGAGACACAAAAAAAGGAGGAAGGUUCCAUGGAGACAUAGGGGUUAGGUCGAGACUUAGGAGCCCUAGGAAUAGCAAGUAUGAUGAGAGUUGGCAGAAGACAUGGCGCAAAACAAACGAAGAGAAAAAACAUAAGCGAAACAGAAGAAACGAGAGAAGGCGACAAAAAGAAGAAAGAAGAACAGCUGAAAACCUGGAAAAAGAGUAAAAGUGAGAUAGAGACAAAAAAAGAAGAUACGUGGUACCUAAAAACUUUUUAGGUUUUCUGAUUUUUGAAUUUUUUUU
This 338-nucleotide long non-coding RNA is filed under the name Prunus persica (peach). Its description in RNAcentral is "long non-coding RNA (PPER_LNC005903)". The record is from RNAcentral. Lineage: Eukaryota; Viridiplantae; Streptophyta; Magnoliopsida; Rosales; Rosaceae.